CACAAUAAUAUGUGACUGCAAUGGUGGCUGGUAUUUGCCGGGUGGCUAAUUGAUGAUAUGAAAUAAAUGUCUGAGUGAUGGUAUAGCUUGGCAAGGUGUUGCUCUCGUUCGGUCGUUUUCAUCCGUUGCCCUCGUUGUGAAGAUUAUGGAUAUUGGUCAAAUGGUGGUCCAGGUAGCUGAGGGUGUGGUGGGAAGGAUUGGUCAGGAUACCUUGGUGGAAAGUAUUGGUAAGGCUGGUUUGGUGGCAAGUAUCCGUAAUAUUGAUAUGGGAAUGGCUUAGGUUGCCAAGGUACUGGUGGCCAAUGUCGACCAUAAUAAG
Hippocampus zosterae (dwarf seahorse) is the source of this 319-nucleotide long non-coding RNA. RefSeq lists it as uncharacterized. The record is from RefSeq and is a predicted model, not a curated record. NCBI's taxonomy places the organism in Eukaryota, Metazoa, Chordata, Actinopteri, Syngnathiformes, Syngnathidae. The transcript is spliced from 2 exons.